GUGAUAUUCCCUUCGUCUGGAAAUACUUGUCCUAGAAAUGAAUAAAAUGAAUGUAUUUAUAAUUAAAAUAAGUCUAAAUACAAUCAUUUUAAAGACAAGUAUUUCCAAAUGAAGGGAAUACUUC
Non-coding RNA from Triticum aestivum (bread wheat), 124 nucleotides. The record is from Rfam. Lineage: Eukaryota; Viridiplantae; Streptophyta; Magnoliopsida; Poales; Poaceae.